UUUUAAAUGAAGACCUGUAUGAACGGCUCCACGAAGGCUUAACUGUCUCCUUUUUCAAGUCAAUGAAAUUGAUCUCCCCGUGCAAAAGCGGGGAUACACCCAUAAGACGAGAAGACCCUAUGGAGCUUUAGAUGUUACAACAAGCAUUAUUGCUAUUCCCAAACAAAGGGAUACCACCAGCCCCUGCCCAAACAUCUUCGGUUGGGGUGACCAUGGGAAACAAGAAACUCCCACGUCUCUGUAUUGGAAUCUCCUUAACCCAACAAACUUCUUCAAACGAGAGCCACCACUCUAGUUAACAGAAUUUCUGACCACCGAUCCGGCAACGCCGAUUAACGAACCAAGUUACCCUAGGGAUAACAGCGCAAUCCCCUUUCAGAGCCCAUAUCGAUAAGGGGGCUUACGACCUCGAUGUUGGAUCAGGACAU
RNAcentral lists this ribosomal RNA (428 nucleotides) under Centropomus undecimalis. RNAcentral describes it as "partial 16S ribosomal RNA". It matches the Rfam family "Bacterial large subunit ribosomal RNA", at positions 1974 to 2545 of the family's 2925-position model. Lineage: Eukaryota; Metazoa; Chordata; Actinopteri; Centropomidae. The record is from RNAcentral.